CCUACGGGUGGCAGCAGUGGGGAAUAUUGCGCAAUGGGCGAAAGCCUGACGCAGCGAAGCCGCGUGAGGGAUGAAGGUCUUCGGAUCGUAAACCUCUGUCAGCAGGGAAGCACGGUAACUGUGCUAAUCAGCAGUGAAUUGACGGUACCUGCAAAGGACGCACAGGCUAACUCCGUGCCAGCCGCCGCGGUAAUUCGGAGGGUGCGAGCGUUUAUCGGAAUUACUGGGCGUAAAGCGGUCGUAGGCGGUAUGUCAAGUCAAGGGGGAAAUCCCCGCGCUCAACGUGGGAACUGCAUUUGAAACUGUCAAACUGGAGUGUGUGAGAGGAUAGUGGAAUGCCAGGUGUAGGAGUGAAAUCCGUAGAUAUCUGGAGGAACAUCAGUGGCGAAGGCGACUAUCUGGCACAUAACUGACGCUGAGGAGCGAAAGCGUGGGUAGCAAACAGGAUUAGAUACCCGGGUAGUC
RNAcentral lists this ribosomal RNA (465 nucleotides) under uncultured bacterium. Its description in RNAcentral is "partial 16S ribosomal RNA". It matches the Rfam family "Bacterial small subunit ribosomal RNA", at positions 338 to 795 of the family's 1533-position model. The record is from RNAcentral.